This 3987-nucleotide long non-coding RNA is filed under the name Citrus x clementina. RNAcentral's name for it is "Citrus clementina (C. clementina) long non-coding RNA (CCLE_LNC002128)". Lineage: Eukaryota; Viridiplantae; Streptophyta; Magnoliopsida; Sapindales; Rutaceae. The record is from RNAcentral.
GUCAUGUUUUUGUUUUAAUUCCCAUUAUAUCCUUAACGAUAAUUACCAUAAAGGACGAAAAACAGAUUUCUCUGAAAUUUUUAAUUCAUUCGAGGUGUGGAAUUGGGAUUGGUGUCUGUUUCUUUCUUCAGUACAUUAUUAAAUUCCCAACUUUUAAGAGUAUUAUAAUGCAAGCGGAACAGGUUGCCUUGGGAAGCGCCAUGAUGAAAAUAUUCGAGGAGGAUUUAUGGAAAAUUUUCUCUUUUUGGAAAGUGAAAUACCAUAAAACGCUAGUGGCUAUACAACAACAUGGUAGUUUCUUAAAGAGAUCAAAUAUGGGGUUUCGAAUAGCUUCACUCGAUUUUUCUUUUUUUCUUUUUUCUUUUUUUUGGGGAUAAUUAGUAGCAAAGACUGAUUUCAUAACUUAGUGAUAAGUAAAAGAUAAAACAACAUAAAAAUUCAAGGAUCUAAAUGAUUUAUUUUCCAGCUUAAUUAACUCGUAUAUAUAGCUGUAAAUCUUCUGCAAGUGUCGAUAACAAUCCAAGCAAAUUAGUCUAAUGAAAUUACUUAACAGCAGCAAGCCAAAUAUGAAACAAAUGUUGCAGAGCUUCUUUGUUCACGUAUCUGUCUUCGAGUUAUGAGAAUUCUCUUAAUCUUAUGGAUGGUUAAUUUACAAACGCGUGCCCUGUAUUUAUGGUUUACAAGUCAGCAGCUUUUGAGUGGUGGGAAGUAGUUUUAAUUUGCAUUACACUUUCUAAUUUAUGAAGUGUGAGUGAAAUACAUAACUCAAAGUUAAUUGAUUUUUUUUUUUUUUUCAUAACUCAUUCUUUAAAUCUCAAGAUAUUGUGUACCACGUAUUUUUUAAUUUGAUGUAUGUGUUUCACACACACUAAUGGAUAAACAUAUAUUCCAUAACAUGGUAUAAUUUUUCUUUUUUUCAAAAAAAAAAAAAUUUACCAUGGAAAUAAUUUCACUUUUUUUUCUCAUUCUUUUUUAUCCAUCAUAUUUUCUCUCUCUUAGAUCUUUAUUAGCGGUACUUAGGACUUUUUUUUUCUUCUUGGUUAUUUAUAUUAUUUACUUUAUUAUUUACGCUUUAAAUAUUUCCCUAUCCGCGACAUACCAAUGAUUAUAACAUAUAUGAUAUUAAUAUUUUUUUAUUACUAAUAUAAGUUAAACAUUUCAUUUGGGUUACUUCAUUUGGGUCAUGGAACAGACUCAUUCGCCCCCAUACCAAGUAAGACAUGCUCAUGGGCUUCCUGCCAGAAAUGAGUUGAUGGAGAUUGUGAUAUUUGACUUCCUUAAUUUAUCUCACUAGCCCUGCCUUUUAAUAAGUAUUAUUUAUUCUAAAAUUGCUCGAAUGUAAGUGCAAAAAAAUGAAAAAUAUAGCCAUUUGCACUGUACCAUGUGCCCCAUUAUUAAUUCAUAUAACGGAUAUACCCUAUAUUGAUCCCAGAUUAAAGAUUAAUAUGGAUGUGACUUCUAUUGAUCUUGGAUUAGAGAUUAAUAUGGAUAUAGUUUAUAUUGAUCAUAGAAUUAGAGAUCAAUAGCCACCUAACUUCUACAAAAGGACCGGAGAUAAUUAAUAAUUAAACCUAGAAACAUUAACAGUUACAGCAUGUGAUUAUUAGCUAAACUAUGUAUUGGAAAUUCAGAUAUAGACAAAAAUGAUUGUCAGAUCUAACAAUAUAAAAUGAAACAAAUGAAAUCAAUGGUGAAUAUUGAGAUCCAAAACAAAAUUUCCUGCCAAGUCCAAUUUUCCCGGUCUAUGAAUGGAGGCUAAAAUGAUUGAGAAAUGAUCUAUUAGCUAUUUCACAAAAAGUCAAGAGAAAUCUAGAUCCAGAAAUUCUCUAAACACAAAUACUAACUUGAGCAUCAAAGUGCCCUUUGUAGGUACAAAUUCGAAUUAGUUUAUCCAAAUCUUCAAGAACAACAUAUCAACUUUAGAAUUCAUAAGGAAAAUGGGUAUAAUUCACUAUCUAUUUCUUCCUUAAUCAUUUGAAAUUGGACAAUUAAAGUUUUAUGAACCUUCAUUGAAAUUAAAAAAAAUAAUUAAAAACAACUAUUUAUUUCCUUUUUCUCUCAGGUUCUCAAUAAAUUAAAUUUUCAUCUCUCACAUUUCUCUUAUUUUUUCAAUUAAUUCAAAAAUUGAAUCAAAUAUUACUUCUAAUCGAAUUCCAAAUUGAAACUAAAUAAAAUUUUAGAUUAUUACACAAAAUCAAAACUUAUAUCAACCAAUUGUUCAUAAAAUUUAACAAAACCUAACAUUGAAACUCAUCAUAUAUUGGUGGAGGCGAUGAGUCAAUUGAUGGUUAAGAAGAUAGAUGAUGGUGGUGAUAGUAGUGGUAAUGUACUUGUUGUUGAUGAAAUGGUAAAGUAAUGGUCACGAAGAAAAAGAGGGAGGCAAUGGAGAGAGAAUAAAACAAAUAAUAAUAAUAAUUUUUGGUUUUUUACUGAGAAUAAUUCUAUAAAGUAUUAAGAUAAAUUGAAUAGUGGAGAGUAGUAAUAUAGUUUGAAGGGAUCAUAUAUCAUUUCUCUCUUAAUCCAUAUGAAUUCAAGGCCCAGUCCGUUAUUGGCCUCGUGCUAAACCUCUGUUGUGCUGUAUACAUUAUCAUUUACCCUUAGUUAAUGCAUAAUCUCUCUAUCACUUGAAAACUAUGCACACCUCAUUUUAGAUAUAUCUUCUCUAUAGUUCACAAGAAGCUAGCUGAUCCUUAAUUUUGUAUAUCAUUCGAAUAGCCACAUUUAUUUUCAAAAUUCCCAUUUAAGAGAGUGGAGACCAUUAAACUUGUAUAUAUUUUGUGUGUUUUCAAAUUCUAAGAAACUAUAUAAAGAAACCAUAUUGGGAUGGUCGUAGAUAAAACAAAAAACACUAAGAGAUUGGAAUUUGUAAAUUGUGUCUAGUUAAUGAGAUUUUAGAGAUAAAGAGAGAAAAGGAGAUAGAAUGGGAAAGAUAGAUAAAUUAUUUUAUGGAGAAACUAAUGCUGCGUUUACUUUUUAGAUUGGAGUGGAAAUCUUUGGAUUAGGAGUGUGGAGUGGGAGUGAGAGUAGGGUGUUUACUUAGACUAAAUGAAAGUAUGGAUUGUCAAUCAGAAUCUCAAUUAUUUGUUUACUUUGUCUUAGAUUGGGAGUAAAUUUUUUUAAAUUACAAUUUUAUCCUUAUGUACAGAAUUAUAAUUUGUAAUUAAAAAAUUAAUAAAAAAUAUAUUUGAAAAAUAAAAAUAAAUAUUUUAUUAUAUUUAUAAAAUAAUAAUAAUUACUAAUAUUCUUAAUUAUGUAAAUCAUAAUUUUUUAUUAAUUUUAAUUUAAAUUAUGUGAAUAAAAAUUAUUAAUAAUAGCAACACAAAUGAAAUAUUAUUAUUGAUAAUAUAGUACAAAAUUAAUAUUUUUUUAGAAUAAAAUAUUUAUUAUUAUUAAUUAAAUAAAUAAUUAAUAUUUAUUAAAAUUAAUGUUUAAUAUUAUUAAUUUAAAUAUAAUAUUUAUUUAUUUUUAUUUUAUUAAAUUUAAUAAAAUAAAUAUGAUAUAAUUAUUUUUUUUAAUAAAUAUGAUAUUAUUUAUUUUAUUAAAUAUUAUUUAUUUAUUUUAUUAAAUAUUAUUUAUUUAUUUUUAUUUUAAUUAUAAGGAUAAAAUGGGAAGAGGGGGGAGUGGAUUCCCACUCCCACCUCCCCCCAUGGGAGUGGAAAUCCCACUCCCCACUCCAAAAUUGAGUGGGACCCACGGAUUCCCACUCCCACUCCCCCCUUUUUUAAGGUAAGUAAACACUGAAGUAGGAGGAAUCCACACUCCACACUCCCACUCCAACAAAUAAACACUACCUAAAAUGUAUUUUCCAAACCCUUCAAAAGCGGUUUUUUGAGGAUUACAUAAGGCAGUUAUCACCAUCACUCAAAUAUAGUCUCUAACCAAAUCACAUAUAUGGGCACUACAAAGUUAUAUUGGGCUCGUGUUGAACCCUGCCAAUCUAUUUCAAUUUUUUCACCGAUAUCUGUAAUUAAUCAUUUAAAAAAAAAA